AAGUCGUAACAAGGUUUCCGUAGGUGAACCUGCGGAAGGAUCAUUCACAAUAAGUGUUAUACUACACUUUUUAAAAAAGUACUCACCUUGUGUGCAAUGUUUUUUUUUUUUGUUGCUGUGCUUUUGGAUUUCAUCAACUGUACUUCAGCAUUAAAAUAAUACCAACCUUUUAUUUUGAAACGUUUUUGUCUGAAAAAUAUUUUGAAUAAAUCAAUUCUAAAUACAACUUUCAACAACGGAUCUCUUGGCUCUC
RNAcentral lists this unclassified non-coding RNA (253 nucleotides) under Mortierella sp. RNAcentral's name for it is "partial internal transcribed spacer region". The stretch from base 1 to 46 matches the Rfam family "Eukaryotic small subunit ribosomal RNA", at positions 1786 to 1831 of the family's 1831-position model. The record is from RNAcentral. Lineage: Eukaryota; Fungi; Mortierellomycota; Mortierellomycetes; Mortierellales; Mortierellaceae.